RNAcentral lists this signal recognition particle RNA (249 nucleotides) under Gorilla gorilla gorilla (western lowland gorilla). Its description in RNAcentral is "Metazoan signal recognition particle RNA". It matches the Rfam family "Metazoan signal recognition particle RNA". From Rfam's summary of the family: The signal recognition particle (SRP) is a universally conserved ribonucleoprotein. It is involved in the co-translational targeting of proteins to membranes. Lineage: Eukaryota; Metazoa; Chordata; Mammalia; Primates; Hominidae. The record is from Rfam by way of RNAcentral.
GCCGAGUGUGGUGGCAGGUGCCUGUAGUCCCAGCUACUUGGGAGGCUGAGGUAGAAGAAUGGUGUGAAGCUGGGAGGCAGAGCUUGCAGUGAGCCGAGAUUGUGCCACUGCACUCCAGCCUGGGUGACAGAGUGAGACUCAGUCUCAAAAAAAAAAAAAAANNNNNNNNNNCCAGGCUGGAGUGCAGUGGCACAAUCUCGGCUCACUGCAAGCUCUGCCUCCCAGCUUCACACCAUUCUUCUACCUCAG